ACUCUCUGCCUGUCAACGUCUCUGUACAGUGAACAUGAGGCAUGUGUAGAGAUUGUGUGACGGGUAGUGAGCCC
This is a non-coding RNA of Branchiostoma floridae (Florida lancelet), 74 nucleotides long. The record is from Rfam. Lineage: Eukaryota; Metazoa; Chordata; Leptocardii; Amphioxiformes; Branchiostomatidae.